AUAAAAUAAAUCUUUACAGGAUAUAUUCAAUCUUAAAAAACACUUUCAUUUUUUUUUUUUUCACUUUCAUUCACAAAAAGACAUUCAACUCAAUCCAAGUUUAGACAAUAAUCCCUUGAUCACAAAAAUCUUAAAAAGAGAAAAUGAGAAAAGAAGGUAAAAUGAAAAUAGAGAUGUGAGGGCAGGCAGGUAGUGGAAAAGAGAGAGAAAAAGGAUGGUGGAAAAAUGGAGGUGGAGGGAAUGGAGAAAGAUAGAGGAAGGUACUAGAGAGGCAGGGGAAGUAGAGGAAGGUAGAAGGUGGUGAGAGGUAGAGGAUAUAGGAAGAAAAAAAAUUCUAAAAUAAAAGAUAAUAUGUGUUAAUCAAUUUAACAUAAAGAAAGAGAUCAAAUUAAUUUUAUUUAACAAAUAUUUGAAUUAGAUUGAGUAAAAAUAUAUAUUAAAACGAAAUUAUUUGUCUAAAUAUAAAAAUCAAAAUU
RNAcentral lists this long non-coding RNA (476 nucleotides) under Vigna radiata. Its description in RNAcentral is "long non-coding RNA (VRAD_LNC007305)". Lineage: Eukaryota; Viridiplantae; Streptophyta; Magnoliopsida; Fabales; Fabaceae. The record is from RNAcentral.